RNAcentral lists this ribosomal RNA (424 nucleotides) under uncultured beta proteobacterium. Its description in RNAcentral is "bacterial SSU rRNA". It matches the Rfam family "Bacterial small subunit ribosomal RNA", at positions 202 to 622 of the family's 1533-position model. Lineage: Bacteria; Pseudomonadati; Pseudomonadota; Betaproteobacteria. The record is from RNAcentral.
AAAGCCCUUAUGCUUUUGGAGCGGCCGAUGUCUGAUUAGCUAGUUGGUAGGGUAAUGGCUUACCAAGGCGACGAUCAGUAGUUGGUCUGAGAGGACGGCCAGCCACACUGGGACUGAGACACGGCCCAGACUCCUACGGGAGGCAGCAGUGGGGAAUUUUGGACAAUGGGCGCAAGCCUGAUCCAGCAAUGCCGCGUGAGUGAAGAAGGCCUUCGGGUUGUAAAGCUCUUUCAGUUGAAAAGAAAAGGUUGUGACUAAUAAUCAUAGCUCAUGACGGUAUCAACAGAAGAAGCACCGGCUAACUACGUGCCAGCAGCCGCGGUAAUACGUAGGGUGCAAGCGUUAAUCGGAAUUACUGGGCGUAAAGGGUGCGCAGGCGGUUCUGUAAGUCAGAUGUGAAAUCCCCGGGCUUAACCUGGGAACU